Molecule: ribosomal RNA, 651 nt
Filed under: Lacrimispora amygdalina
Lineage: Bacteria; Bacillati; Bacillota; Clostridia; Lachnospirales; Lachnospiraceae
Description: bacterial SSU rRNA
Rfam family: Bacterial small subunit ribosomal RNA
Source: RNAcentral
CUUACACAUGCAAGUCGAGCGAAGCGAUUUUAAGGAAGUUUUCGGAUGGAAUUAAAAUUGACUUAGCGGCGGACGGGUGAGUAACGCGUGGGUAACCUGCCUCAUACAGGGGGAUAACAGUUAGAAAUGACUGCUAAUACCGCAUAAGCGCACAGUGCUGCAUGGCACAGUGUGAAAAACUCCGGUGGUAUGAGAUGGACCCGCGUCUGAUUAGGUAGUUGGUGAGGUAAUGGCUCACCAAGCCGACGAUCAGUAGCCGACCUGAGAGGGUGACCGGCCACAUUGGGACUGAGACACGGCCCAAACUCCUACGGGAGGCAGCAGUGGGGAAUAUUGGACAAUGGGGGAAACCCUGAUCCAGCGACGCCGCGUGACUGAAGAAGUAUUUCGGUAUGUAAAGGUCUAUCAGCAGGGAAGAAAAUGACGGUACCUGACUAAGAAGCCCCGGCUAACUACGUGCCAGCAGCCGCGGUAAUACGUAGGGGGCAAGCGUUAUCCGGAUUUACUGGGUGUAAAGGGAGCGUAGACGGUUCUGCAAGUCUGGAGUGAAAGCCCGGGGCUCAACCCCGGGACUGCUUUGGAAACUGUGGGACUAGAGUGCAGGAGAGGUAAGUGGAAUUCCUAGUGUAGCGGUGAAAUGCGUAGAUAUUA